CUUUAAACCGGUGCUCAUACCUUAUAGUGCUCCCGGGGUCUGGGAAAUCAUGUAAACUCAUCACUCUUGAAAAACAAACUGAAUUGAGCAGGGGAGCACAGUCUCAGAUAUUCCACCUUUAAAAUAGGGAACUUCAUAUCUGGACCUCACCAAAACUAUGUGGAACUGAGAAAAGACUGUCCCCACAGUCCCCACAGUCAGAGGGAAUGGAGUGCUACUGGAGUGUUAAAGCUAAGAAAAAGCAUUUGAUUUAUAAAUUAAUAAAAAUAUUCUGCCUGAGGGUCUCCCUGGUGGCGCAGGGGGUUAAGACGCAACUUAUGAAGCUAACCACAGCCACUACAGCACAAGUUCGAUCCCCUGCCAGGGAGCAACCCACAUGGAGCAGCAGACUCGCCCACUGACUUGCCUCUGACUUACCAACUGCUCUCCUGACUCGCCCACUGAUCCCCUCAGCAGUGUAUUUCCAUCAAUCUGCCUGUUCUAUUCUCUACUCUGUCUCUGGUGAAUCCUCUCAUACCCACCCCCUCACCUCUGGUCUGUACCCCAGCUCUUAUAUG
This is a long non-coding RNA of Talpa occidentalis (Iberian mole), 557 nucleotides long. RefSeq lists it as uncharacterized. NCBI's taxonomy places the organism in Eukaryota, Metazoa, Chordata, Mammalia, Eulipotyphla, Talpidae. The record is from RefSeq and is a predicted model, not a curated record. The transcript is spliced from 3 exons.